RNAcentral lists this unclassified non-coding RNA (166 nucleotides) under uncultured fungus. RNAcentral describes it as "sequence contains ITS1". The record is from RNAcentral. Lineage: Eukaryota; Fungi.
AAGAGUUUGAGAAAACUCCAUAAACCCAUUGUGGACUUACUGUUUCGUUGCUUCGGCAGGCGGCCCCAGGGCGGGGCCACCGCCUGUGCUGUGCACAGGAGCUUGCCGAAGGUGAUUUUAAAACUCAUGUUAUACUGUCGUCUGAGUUUGCAAAAGCAAAUUGUCA